Molecule: ribosomal RNA, 371 nt
Filed under: uncultured marine gamma proteobacterium DHB-8
Lineage: Bacteria; Pseudomonadati; Pseudomonadota; Gammaproteobacteria
Description: bacterial SSU rRNA
Rfam family: Bacterial small subunit ribosomal RNA
Source: RNAcentral
UGGCGGGAACUCUAAGGAGACUGCCGGUGAUAAACCGGAGGAAGGUGGGGACGACGUCAAGUCAUCAUGGCCCUUAGGGGAUGGGCUACACACGUGCUACAAUGGCGUAUACAGAGUGCUGCAAUACCGCGAGGUGGAGCGAAUCACACAAAGUACGUCGUAGUCCGGAUUGGAGUCUGCAACUCGACUCCAUGAAGUCGGAAUCGCUAGUAAUCGUAGAUCAGAAUGCUACGGUGAAUACGUUCCCGGGCCUUGUACACACCGCCCGUCACACCAUGGGAGUGGGAUGCAAAAGAAGUGGCUAGUUUAACCCCUCGGGGAGGACGGUCACCACUUUGUGUUUCAUGACUGGGGUGAAGUCGUAACAAGGU